UACGGAGGGUGCAAGCAUUAAUCGGAUUUACUGGGCGUAAAGGGCGCGUAGGCGGGUUACUAAGUCAACUGUGAAAUUCCGGAGCUCAACUCCGGAGCUGCAUUUGAAACUGGUAGUCUAUAGAGGGAUGGCGGAGAAAAUGGAAUUCCACGUGUAGCGGUGAAAUGCGUAGAUAUGUGGAAGAACACCAGUGGCGAAAGCGGUUUUCUAGCUAUUUCCUGACGCUGAGGCGCGAGAGCAUGGGGAGCAAACAGG
Molecule: ribosomal RNA, 255 nt
Filed under: uncultured bacterium
Lineage: Bacteria
Description: partial 16S ribosomal RNA
Rfam family: Bacterial small subunit ribosomal RNA
Source: RNAcentral